RNAcentral lists this long non-coding RNA (1773 nucleotides) under Volvox carteri. RNAcentral's name for it is "long non-coding RNA (VCAR_LNC000323)". The record is from RNAcentral. Lineage: Eukaryota; Viridiplantae; Chlorophyta; Chlorophyceae; Chlamydomonadales; Volvocaceae.
GGACACAGGCAAAAGCAAGUUUUGCAACGUCAACAGUGCUUAGUUCUCAAUCGCUUCUAGCACUGCACCCCUUACUUUAGGUUAUGUUUUCAUUCUUCACAGUUCUUGUGUAACACUCACCACCUUUGCGGCUACUACUCCGCACCGCGCUUGUUUAGUUUAGGCUAAAAUGGGAGUCCAGGGAGCAUAAUUGGAGGAAGGCAACUUUUUAGCGUAGUCUCUGAACGACUGUUUCGGGCGAUUGGAUGUUCCACUUAGGCAACUCCCUAGUACUCCAGGCUUUCCCGGAACACAGUAAUCCCUGGUGAGAGUAAUCCUUGAUGAUAUAGAAACCAAACUCAUUACCAUUUACCCAGAACUUCACCGCAAACCGCUUACCCAGGGAUGUUUGGUAAUGUUCGGAGCCGUUCGAAUGGAUAACUGUACCAUAAACAGGUUACAUUGGCAUAAGCUAUUAGGAUUAGCAACGCGAUAAAUAAGUCACUGGUAAGGUUUAUGCCUAAAUGGUUCAUGAGGAAUCGUCCCCACCGUUUCUGCCAGGGCAGCAUGGAACCGCUGGGCCGACAAUGGCAAGGAAACUUCCCCCUACGAGCUGUAUGAUAAACAAACAAACCAUAUUUUCAUGUAGUUGAAUUUCCUUACUUACAACAGCGAACAGAAGGCGCUAUCUAGGGUCACUUGCCAGCCUUUGGCAAUGGUACAUCCAGGUAUAAAGAAAAAAAUCAAUACAACAUUGGCUUGGGUGGGCGGAAGCAACCCACCAGCUUCCCAUUGCCCUGACGACUACGUCUUCUUGCACUUUAUCAAAAGGCUAAAAUAAAGAAAUCGGACAGCAUUUCUGGAAUAGAUUUCUGUACUGCAAGUUACUUUCUCUAUCAGUGGCAAUCAGUGACAAUCAUCAUUGUUUAAAUAAUGAUUUGUAAGCGAUUAAUGCGAUGUCAUGCUGCAAGAGCUUGUAGGCUGUACGUUCAUGCCCCGCAAGUCAGGCUACCUUAUGUCAGGUCGGCCGAUAGUUCGCAUGUUUCAAGGAAUCCUUGCGAAAAUCAAAGACAAAACAUGGAAUCCUAUUGAUUGUGGUGAAGAUUGUGGCCAGUAAUCCUAUGGCGCUUUUCAUGGGUUGCUUGCUUAGCCUUCCUUAACCCUAACACGGACAGGAGCACUGAAGCUUUCUUGAUAUGAUGGAUUAUAAUCGUGUAAUCCCUACCAUCAACUCCGCGUGUAGUUGGUACCAACUGAUCCCGCUGCUCAGGAAGGGAAGGGAGCGGGAAGGGAGCUGGAAGGGCAGUACAGCGAGCCGCUCUGGCGCGAAGCGGAACGGACCGGGGCCCAGCCCACCCCGCGGUCUCAACUACAGCAGCGACCACGGCAGAGUCCUUUGCAAAGCAGACGGAAGGCCCCUAUUACCAACGUGUACAUGUGUUGGUGUGAAAUGAGGUUAAACAACGGUUCUUCGGAAGUGGAAAGAUCCGUGUCUUGUACCCUUGUUUCAACGCGGCACGAGUGCACCGUUGAGGUCCACUCAAGGCUAAGAGCAAGAGCGGGAACGCACACAUGAUCACCAGGUGCAAACGCAAAUCUCGUUUUACACAAAAGGGCCAUCUGCUACACCUUAAUUAAGCGUCGUGAAUGGAGGAGUACGGUGGAUCCCAACGGAUCACCGCCGUGCACAGGAUCGCAAACACUGCGUACCACCCAAGCACUGGAUGUAGACCAGCAGAAGUGCGAAGACCCACCAGGGCAGCCAACCACUGGAUUGGAGAGCCGUAGAAAACC